Molecule: long non-coding RNA, 1094 nt
Organism: Rhododendron vialii
Lineage: Eukaryota; Viridiplantae; Streptophyta; Magnoliopsida; Ericales; Ericaceae
Exons: 3
Source: RefSeq, a predicted model, not a curated record
CGUGUGGUAGGGAAAGAAACAAUAUUGACUGUUUGGGUUGGGUCAAAACAAAAUCCAACUACUUUUAGGUCUGAGUUUGAAAAAUCAAUGGGACUACUAGGCAAAGCCAUUGGCAAUGUCGUAUAUGAUCAAGGGUGCAGAUCCACUGUUCGUGAAUUAUCGCCAUUAUUUGACCUAUAAUCCCAUCAGUGAUUCAGAACGCAUGCAGAAAUUUACGCUCAGAAAUUUCUCUCCUCUUGCAUCCAUUAAUUAAGAUCAGCAAGUUGCCUGCAAGUCCUUUCCAUUAGAACAUACACUCCUACAAUUCAUCAAAUCCACAUGCAUCCAACCCCUAAGCAUGAGUGCCCCCAAGGGGGGAGUCACAGCAACUUACCGAAAGGUGGAACAGUAACAACAGAGGUAUGAGUAUCAUGUGCGCUCCAACUUCAGAGGCUUCUGGGUUGGUAGUCCCUUGUAAUGAUGAUGUAUUGUUAGUGUGAAAUAAGAUAACAAACAAAUUGAAUCCAGUUUACUUCAGGAACUAAAGAAACCUAAAUGUGCCUCAUUGGCAUAUACAAUCACUGUCUCUUUAUUGAUAAAUUGUGCCACUACUAAAGAAUGACUCACAAAGAAGACACAUCAUCAUGAAUAGAUUAUGUAAGGAUGAAAAUAUAGCCCCUAAGAAUGCCUGGAGUCAUGGACUAAAACGUCGGAGGAUGCUACUUAUUUUUUUCUUUUUUUGAAGUGUAUAUAGGUUUUAAGUUGAAAUAAUGAGCACGAAAGGGCUAGAAGUUUCUUCUUGUAGUUGCGUCAAAGUUCUGUACUUUUUCUUUUUCUCAGGACAGACAAGUAGACUAAGACUUGGAACCAAAUGGAGAAACAAUUGGGAGGAGUUUUUUGGGGGCAUCAAGGGGAGACAUAGCAUGUAUCGCCCGGUGGUGACCGUUGGUCCAGAACAUGGGGAGAGGAGCACUUCGGAAAUUGCUAUACUACUAAUUCUAUCACUCACUCCAUUGAAUGAGCGAUACCUUGUUUAGGACUGGAGUACAAGUAUAGGUUGUUUUCACACGACGAAGGAAACUGAUAUGCUUCUCUCUCUGUGCGUAUAUACCACC